GGUGAUUUCCACGCUGACUUCAGCUAGACUGGAAAUACCACAAGGUGAUUCCAGAAUAUUCUACACAUAGAGUGCUGAAGUGGUAUCGUACCGCAGCAUGUCUCUUUCCCUCAUCCCUCAGUGAAGGAAAGGCGCCUUAAUGGAUGUCUCAGCAAUUACGGUUUGGGGUGAGUUUUUUCCUGCUUUUGGAGAAAGGUAAGGAACCGUUUGUGGAAGCCUGAAGCAAUCCUGGUCCGAGCCCUUUCUCCGGCUGGCUUUGGGCAGCGGCCGCGGUCCUUUCGUGCCGUGGGGCAAUGGCACCACCUGGUGGGCUCGAUCCCACAGCCAUCCAUUGUUUUAAGAGAGGAAGCUUACAGCCCAAUUAUGAGUCAGCACAGAAUAUAUAAGAACCAAUCUACAUGAGAACCUUAUGCAGCCACGUUUCCAUGUCCUGUGGAAUAGGAGAUAAUACUGUGAACUGGAAAAGAUGCUGAGAUAAAAUCUUCUUUGACCUCUUGGAGAUUCCUCUUCCACAGAGUGGCCAUUCAGCAUCUCGAGAAGUGGAUUCUCAUUGUGGCACAUCCAGGUUCUAGGCUGAGCAAAUAAAGCUCAUGAGGAAAUGUUAAGCCCACAAAUGUCCUAAAGAACUCACCUGACUGGAAAGCAGCUAUUUCAGCGGGCAGAGAAAGCCAUGUGGGAGCAGUCUGGAGCACCUGAUCUGGCUGUGCAGCAAACAAUUGGCUGUGUGUUGUCUUCCCAGCAAACACACAACGAGGGCUGGUGAUUAACUCCACUUCUGUGAUAAACUAAUGAUUCUGAUCAUCUCUGCUCCUUUAUUGGUGCUGGGAGGUAAAAUAUGGAGCCAUAGCUCCUCCGAUAUUUCAUUCUACAGAUGAGUUCAUAACUUUAAGUUUGGAGAAUUUAUUUUUAUAAUUGAUACACACACAUUCAAGGUCAUAAAUAUUUUUUAAAUUGUAUUGGACCAUCACAAGUAUUUCUUUUUCCUUUCUGCCCUCCAGGAUACGUUAGUCACUAUUUUGAGAAAUAUUUUUAUCUCAGCCGGUAUAAUUUUGUUUGUUUUUUUUUUUUUAAUCAGGUUCUAUUUAACAGAUAUUAUUAAUUGCAUCAAAAUAUUUUAAAAGUCAGGAUUAGGAGAGAAUUGAAAGGGGUUCUGUUUACAGCCCAGAAAAUUUGCAUUUUCAGAGCCUGGUCUGGACAGUUUCUGACAGACACAAACACCCUGAGCUGACUGCAGUGAGCAGCUGAAGCACUGAACGUGCACACGCCGUGUCUGUGGUAGGAGUUGAGCUGUGUAUUUGUAUCUUCACCAAGAAAUAAACUCCCCCUGUUUUGCCAAGGCACCCGGGUUGACAGAGGGAUUAACUUCAGUAAAACAAAUGAAGGUUAAACAGUAACAAAACAACCCCCAAAUGGCACCUGACUUAUCUGCUCUGUGGCAGCACAGACUGAGGGGAAGAGGAGGAAGGAUUGCAGCAGCCUCCUCUCAGCACCGUUCUCCCCCAGCCUGGGAGAGUUUCACCCCCUUGCACUGGGCAGGGGAGCAGCAGGAGGGCAGGAGCUGGGCCCUCCCUGCAGCCCUGGGAGCAGGGAGGCACAGCCUGUGUGCAGGGGCAGGAAGGUGCCAGCCUGCUCCUGCAUCCCUGCAGGGCCUGCUGGAGCCCCGCUCCUGACACGCUGCCAGGCUUUAAAGUUUCUUCCUUUCACAGGACAUUUCAGUAUCCACAGGCGAGGGGGAUGCAGAAGGUAUUGGUGUUACAAACAAACAGCAAAGUUUACCACCCACUGUCUUGGUUGUCUUCUACACAUGGUUCCGUUUUACUUUUGGUCUGCCAUGGUUUCCAGAUGUUGGGGAAAAAUGUUUAAUUCUUGGGAAAAUUUUAAUUAAUGAAGAAUCCAGAAUCUUUUUUGCAGCAACUACUCAGUAGCUGAAGGGAAGAAAGGUAAAGUCCAUUUUAAGACCUCCCAAUGCUUCAGAUUUACAGGAGAGCUUUUCUGCAAUAUUCCAAAUGCUCAUUUCUAGAAGAACUGUAUUUAACAAAGGUAUCCCAACAUGCAUCUCUUACACACACACAAAAAUCAAAUGGAAAAGAAACAUGGAAAAAAAAAGAUGAAAGACUUGUGAUCAGAAAGUACAUGCAAACAGGACAGUGUGGUAAAAGAAAGAAAAAGAUGGGCAAUGGCCAUUUUUAUGCUCUCUGAAAGAAGUGACAAACUUGUAAGUCUGAAAGUCUGAUUCAGAAAAGGGAAGGGGAGCAGUGAUGGAUGUUCAAAGGCUGGAUUUAGAAUUGUUACUGAAGUUCAAAUUGGGAAUGUGUGCUGGGGAAGGCUCUGGGCAUCCCUCCCACUGCUGCUGCUAAAGCCAUUCCGAGAGGCAGCGGGCACGGCUGGGGCUGAGCCCCGUUUGGCCACAGCUUUGUCUGUAACCAGCUCAUGCCUGGCUGCACCCCGGGCUCCGAGGUCACCAAGGACACUCUCGGGGUCAGAAGCGGUGCCCAGCACAGCAGCUGUGCUGACACCCCACACUCAAACACCAGCACUGCACACAGACAGAGGAGCUGCAUCUUUCCUGGGCUUGGACUAAGCACUGUCCCCCCUGAAGUGCCACAAAACCUACACGGAUGCAUCAGUCAGUUCAGAAGGAGCUUGGCACUGAAGUUCCCUGCACCAAGGGCUCAGAUCCAGGCAGCCUGUCACAGGAGGGAGCUGUACACGAGGCUGUGCCUGUGGGACCAGCAGCCCCAGGUUUGCUGUCUGCCUGUGCAAUGCCCUUCCUGCUCUGCAGCAGCAAAUGCAGCUCGGGCACUGCUGCUCCUCAGGCACUGGGCACUUCUGGCCUGGCUUCACAGGAGCAACAGCACUUGUGCCUGCAGCAUGCUCUGCUCCUUGAGAAAGUGUCAGGCUUUGUUCUGAUAAAGGCAGAACAGUUCUGCCUCUGUUUUUCAAGCAGCACAUUGCCUAUGAGGAGAGAGAAAUUUAAAAAACUCACUGAUUUACCAUGUUAAAAAAAGAUGGCACAUUUAUUGCUACAUAAAUGUUAUAUACAUAGUGUUUUCUGUUACAUUGACAGAAAUUUUUUGAACUUCUUGCUGCUGGUUGGAAAGGUUUAUCAGCAAUACCUUGAAAUUUGACACAGGGUACAAAUCUGCAAUAAACCAACAAUGGAAACUGGAGAACAAGAUGAGAAGCAAUUCAUCUCGGACAAUUAGCUCUUACAAUACUCCAUAGGUACUACACGGUAUGCUAGAACCCUACUAUGGUCUUACAAUGCUAUUGUAAAUUUCUGAUAUUAAUGAACAGGUUAUGGUAAAUAACCCUACAUUUUUACUACCUAAUAUAGUAAAAUAAAGUAAGAAACUUUUUACUGAAAACUUUUUUUGAUUUCAAAAAUCUAGAAAGAGUAAUAUUUAGAAUUCAAGAAAUUUUCUUACAAGAUUAUUGUAUAAAAGACUAGCUACAGUGAAAAAUAAGCCAAAUGUUUUUUUCUUUCUAUUUUAUGAAGGAAAGCUUCUGGGCAUACUGCAAAGUCUAAUAUAGCCAAAAAGACAACAAGCUUAGAAGGAAAAAGGCCAGGCAGUGGCACGUGAUCACUUUCACACGUCAUAAGCAACAAAUUCCGUUUAGCUGAUAAACACUGAAAUGAAGAACAAGGCCACAGAUAUAAUCAGGUGUUAUUUGAUGAUAUAUGCAAAUUAAAGUAAUAGAAAUGAGUCCACUAAUUCCACAAACUGUUUUGUUAGGAACCAUCCAGAACAUGAGCUUAAAUUCAUUAGUUUAUUUUAUCAAUCCAUCUUUUGUUCUUUCAAAUUAAAUGACUUCGUAAAAAUUAUAGUUUUGUUCCUGUUUUGUGUGUGAACCAAUUGCCAGUGAUGAAAGAUGCACUAUAUAAACAAUAGCUCAGACAACCUUGGCUUAGGAAAUUUCCUCCCAUGGUCAUUGCAGUGGAAGACAGUUUCCAUGGAAGUUCAAAGGGAUUUUAACCAUUUCAACACAUCUGUGACAAAGGAAUACUUAUGGACACUAUUCUGGUGGAGAAACAUUUAAAGGUUUAAUGCUAAUAUGGCUUGGGACGGGGGUAUUUGCAUUUGAUUCACACUAUUUCUUCUCCACUGACAAGCCAUACAACAUGACAUGAUAGUUAACGUGUACAGGAAGGAAAAACUGGUGACCAUUGCUCUUAAGAUUCCAUUACAUAAUAAGCCCACCCUGCUGGUGGUUAUAUCAUCACACUACCUGCCACGGUGAAUUUAGGAUUUUACUAUUCACCAAAGUUACAGCCUGAAAAAAAUCUCCUUUGUAUUUUAAUGCAUUUUGUGCUUACAUACAGCUAACACUUUACAUGUACUAUAUGUAGUACUUACUGCUCGGAAAACAAAGCAACUCUAACAAAGUAGAUUCUCCCCACCCAAUUUACACUUCACGUUACAAGCUUUACUAUGAAGCCUAGAAGCCUAAAAAGGUUUUGUUUAUAAUUAGAAAAAAAAAAUGUUUGAAGAAAGUCUGAGGGAAAAUAAAAAUCACUUUUUAAAUCCAAGAAAUGUUAUGGUCACAGUAUUGCUCCAGCCUGCAGCCUUCAUGAGGCCUCUGAGUGGCUUGAGGCACAGAGCUCAGUAUGGAAGGGGAACUGUGACCAUAACUGUUCAGGUUACCAGAGAUCAAAAAUAACAUAAAAAAAGCUAUACCAAGGAAUAGUUUCCUAUUGCAUGGAAAACACUAGUCAUAUGGCAAAAGGAGAGGAAAGGACAACAAAAGACUUUUCCCUUCCUUUUUUAAGACACUAAUAGGUAUGCUGGGAAUGCUACGGGUCGACGGUUGUCACUGCUUUGUUCUCUGAAUGUGAACAGCUCUAGUAAAUGCUGGCAUUCAGCUGAAAUUUUAUCAGCUUUUAACAUGUUAACUUUUCCCUUUAUAUGUAGACCUUUACAGUUCCAUAACAAUAAAUAAAAUUUGUAGUUACAAUGCAUUUGUCAAUUCAGUUUAGGCACAAGGCAACUUCCACAAUGAGUGGAGAGAUCACAACAGUCUCUGAUUGUGCAGAAGCGACACACUGCUUGCAACAGAAUGAUAUGUUCAGAGUAUCUCAUGGGCUGAAAUUCUGUCUGAAGAUCUUGUAUCUUCACUCCUGAUGCAGGUGUUGACCAGUAGCUUUGAUCAUAAGAUUGCAUUUGGGUUUUCUUGCUUCAAGUGUUUUCUCCUGUCAGGUUUGUGUCUUCAUAUAAUGUUAGUUGUCUGUGUCCUUGUGAAGAAAGGUCACCUUCUGUGUAUCCUACCAAUAAUUCUGGAAUUCUAGAAGGAAAUUUAGGAGAAGAAAGAGGUUAUUAGGAAAAGAAUAAUUAAAAAGCUUAGUAUCAACACUAGAGCCCUAAUCUGAACUGGAUUUGGUGGCAUUUUCAGUCAUUUAGGUGCAAAAGAAGAUCACAUUGAGAGCCCCUGCAAUCCGCCAUUCCAGAGAUGUCUGUCUUACACAUGAUAUAUGGAAGAGAUUACUACAAAGAACCUUCUGCUGGGCCCCUCUGGGUAAGGCAGAAAGAAUCAUCUGCACAUCUCAGACCUUCAGUUGGUGCCUGACCUUGCUCUCCAAAUCAAGCAGUGCCAAGCUCACUCCCUCCUGAAGGUUUCCCAACUAUGCAGAAUACCAACCAACAACACGAAUAAACCCAAAAGACUGAUAUUCCUGGAGGGCUCCCCACGAGUGUGUUUCAAUGAGAUGUUACAUACUGGGCUACCUUGCAAAGCUGCAAACAUUACUUUUAAAUUUGAACUACCUUCACGAAUACAGGCUGUGACUUAAGACAGCUACCAGUCUCUGUUGGGCAAAUGAGAGGAGUUAGAAUGACUGGCCUUGAGCCAGAGGGCAAAUCUCUCUGGGGUGAGGAGUCCCUGAGACUGUAUCAGCACUGGGAAACAAUACGUGGAUUUUUAAAUCAACUAAUGUGAUAUCUGGACCAUUUAAAGAUGUAUAAUUCAUCUCUAAUAAGCUUGGCUUAUCUAGCAAGCUGUUCACUCUUCCUCUGAUGUCAUGCCAAGAAGGCCACCUGAGCCAAGAGACGUAGCCAUUGGCAACAAGGCAAGAAAAUAGACACUGACGACAAUUUCUUGGGGUUUUAUUAUAAACCCAAACAAAUCUGCAGCCUUCUGCUUCUGCUGAGAGACGUGAAAGCACAGAGAAGUUCGGUGCUGCUGGCAGCUCAGAACUCAGCCCUCCACAUCCAGGUGUCCCCCACUGGGCCAGCAGAAAGCACAGGAGGCACCGUGACGUACCUGGCUGGUGUUCACAUAUGACCCAUAGGGUUGGUAGUUUCACUCAGGCCAGGGUGGCUUCCUGGGUGUGCUGUUGGUGGCUCUGCCGAUACGGCAGAAACUUUUUCUUCUUCCCUUCUCUUAAGGCAGGCUGCUUUAGGGUUUAGGUUUCGUUCUGCAACAGAAGAAUCAGAGUUCUCAAUAUCCCAUACACCGACACCACGGGCAAUAUCGAUACAAGAACCCUGGAGUAAAAAUAGCUCUGCAGCUUCCCUCUUCAGCUGCUGUGUUCCCUGCUCACCCACAGGUGUCCAAAGCUGCAGACAAUCACCACUGAAAGUCCUGCCAGACAGCUCCUAAACUGCUAUUUAAAAACAACCAAAGAGACAAAAAGCCAAGCCCAAACCUUUUCAGCAGCCUACAUACACCUUCAGAAACUUUUAAAAAGCACCUUCUUUAUCAGCAUAAAACACUUAAGUGCUAAAUGAGAACUGUCUAUAAUUUACAAUACAAUAAAAUUGAAUGUAUCCAUUUUGUUGGUAGGCUGAAUUCUUACCAACCUUGCUGACAUCACACCAGUUUUAAUAAUGUUGCUGCUUCUUCCUUCCCAGUAUUAGCCAGCUGUUAGGGCAGGGGAGGCAGCACACCCUCAAUGGAUAGUUCUCAUCAGCCUCAAUCUGUGAAAUCACCUUGUGCCCAUCUUGGUUCAAUCAGAAGACUGUGAUGACAGUCACAUACGGCAGGAGCAUUAUUUUUUUUCCCAACCCUAUUUCCUCUCACAUUAAAGCCAAUACUUUAUAAUAACCAGCUGUGGACCAGCUAUCAAGGUAUUUUCAUCAGUGUGUUUCCACUUCCCCACUUAGCUUCAAUAGAUGCAGAUUUGGAUCUCAUUUCCAAAUAAUGACAGUUUCUAAAAGUCAACUGUUUCUGUUCUUCAAAAUGGCUUUUCAUGAAUCAAAUACAGAAGAUGUCAAUCACAGGGGUCCAAAAGACACACAAAAACCAUGUAAUAUAUUCCACUGUGGAAUUUAAUCAACAUUUUAAGGUAUUUUCUAGCUGUCAGUACAUUCUGUUUUGCAGUUGGAGAUGGCAGAUACAAUUAUAACUGCAAGAAGUCUGCCAAAACUGAACAGACAGCACAAGCCCUUUUCUUGCACUGCACAGGCACCCCUCUAGUAACUGCAGUUUAGUGACCCCUGUGCAUUUUAGCUCAUCUGACAGAGACUAUUUUGGAUGGACUUGAUAGUUCUGCUGUCACCAAAGUCAUUAUCAGCAGCCUCCUACUGCAUUUCCUUAAGGAUGAGCACUCCUAAAGAGCCUACCGGAAAAAACCCAAAACUGCUAACUUUCCUUAAUCACAGUUCUCUUUGUCUAAAUGUGGCUUGCCUUGAAGUUUUAAAUAUUUAAUUGCGUGGAAACUUUGAAAGGAAGUUAAUUUACAGUGAUUUAGGAAAUGGAGAUAAAAACCCCUGGCCUACACUGGGAGCUUAAAUCUGAAAUGGCUCAUUUUGAAUAGCACCAAUCACAAAAUGAGAAGCGUCUUUACCAGCAGAGAGAGGAAAUUGUUGAUGCAAUUACACAAAGCACUGUGCAAGCUCCUGUGGGUGUCACACAGCUCCGGUCACUCAUGGAGGAACAGGUGCAGAGGGGAGGGAAGGCAAACGGGAGCCAGGGCCCCUCCACGCGGAGCACAGGGGACGGGAGGAAGGAACUGCUCCAUUCACACUGCCUGUGCAGAGGGGCCAGUUGAGCUCUGAGCACUACAGUUUUCUACCACAGACACCAGGGCUGGAAGUCCUCUGACCAAGGCAGAAUGAAUUUGUUAACAUGGAGCUUCCUGUGAAUUACAGAAUCUGUGAAAGCAGGGAGAUAGACUUGAUGCUUUUUAAACACAAAAGCCAUGCCUGAUUAACGUCCCUCUGACUUCGUAAUGCUCAACCUUAUCUUCUACACCACGACAACCAUUUUCAGACCAAAACAGUGCCUGAGACCUCUCAGAGAUGCUAAACUGGGUUUUACAAAGGCCCCAGCUGCUCUGCAGAACAGUUGCUCUGUGCCUUGGAAGAGCUCUGGCUGGAGACUGUGUGUUUCCUUACUUACAACUGGAUCAGUAAAAGUGUCUGAAAACACAGCAUCUCAUCCUUACUGCAUGAAGUACAUAAGUUUGUGUUAAGUUAGUUAUUUAGCCCCUUUCAAUAAACUUCUAACUUUUGCUUGGAUCUUCUGUGUAAAAUGCAAGCAACAAAUGAGAAAAAGGAAGUAAAAAUGAGUUAUGCAAAAAUAAAACAUUGUUAUCACUUGUUGACAUCAGUGAUUCAAAGAUGUAGUGCACUGAGCAAAUACAACCACUGACAUAUGCACAUCUCAGACUUUUCACUUGACACACUUCCAUCAGUGACACGCUGAGGAAGAUGGCUGCCCAUGAGUCCCAAACAGCAAAGCACGAGGACACUCAUUUGGGAAGUGCCACCUCCACAGAACGAGACAAUUUCUGUUGGAAGGGACUCCCAGCCACCAUCCAGUCUGACUCAGGGCAGACCAAAAGUUAGGGCAAGGUGCCCCAGAACUUCAACUCAUCUUUGGCAAAAAUAAACAUGGAGAUUUAAAGUCAACUGUGGCUUCACCAGCUCACAAGAACAGAAGAGUUGAAGAACCAAAUGUUAAUUCCUAGAACCAUCUCUCCUUAUGAGAAUGAAUGGCAAAAAGUAGUUUUCCUUCUGCACCUACCAGCAAGCCUAUUGUUUCUUUCUUGGAAAAAUUUGAAGGAAUCAAAGAAAGAAGAUUCAUGCAAACCCAGCUCUGAUUCAAUUAGAGUACAAGCUUCCUCCCUCCCCAGUACAUGUUUAAUACAAAAUCUUAUGAAAACACAAAUAAAUUCAUUGCAUUUUAAUAUUUCAAUUAUGUGGAGUUCAUCCUAAAACAGAUCUCUAAUUGUUGCUAAAUAUUUUCUAGUACUAAACAAGUGCUUGUUACAAUUUAAAGCAAGAUGUAUCAAUAGUUUAAUUACAGAAUUUACCUUGAAAACUUAAAUGAUGACUAAUUGAACAGGAAAAAGAAAAGUCAAAUUAUAAACCUUAUACUUUGUUCCCCUUAAAAAAAAAAAGUGAUUCUUUGUUUUUUCUAAAGAGCUUCAGCAUCACUACAGAUGCAAACACACUUUCAGUGGCUCGUGCACCUGGCUGAGCAGGUCUCAAGACACUGCUCCAAGGACAAAGCUGCCCCAGGCGUGCCCCAGCCCCGAGACCACUGACCUCUCACUUGCUGCUCCAGGCUGAGGAUCACUGCCACGGCCUGGUGGAGGAUCAGCAGCUUCGUCUGCGGCUUCUCGCUCUUCAGGUGCAGCUGGCACAUGCGGCCCAGCUCCUUGAACGCCUCGUUGAUGUCGCGCACGCGCAAACGCUCCCGGGCGUUGUUGGCCAUUCUCCUCUCCUUCUCUCUUUCUAUUUUCUGCUCUGGGUUUAAAUCCUCAUCUUCGUUAGUACUGCUGCGAGAAAGGAAACGUAACAGGGUAUUGAAAUAACACCGGUAUUUCAAACAAGUGAUCCUGGUGCUGACUCCAAAUGGAUGAAGAGUAAAUAACUUCCAACAAAGUUUUUGCUAUUUUCUAAUGCAUCAGCUUAUAUAAAAACACAUUCAAGGAAUUUUCAAUUUCAUGCGCUUAUUUAAAAGUUUUACUUUUGUUAAAGACCACACUGGCAAAUUCUAGAACUAUUUUUCUUCUAUUCAGUGUAGAGCUAAACAGCUAUGUUCCGAAUUCUUGAACUGCCUCAAAUGAUAUCAAGUUGCACCUUUUUUAAUAUAGGUUCAUCCAAUUUAGUCUAAAACCAUGCAAAACCUCUGUUCUACUAAAACUAACACACUAAAUGCCAUUGAGCAUGUCUUAGUACAGAUUAUGCUACCUGUGGUUGCAAAAUUCUGAUUGUUUACUGUUACCUCAAAUUUCAAUGGUUGUAUCAGGCCUAUCAGGCAGAUCCUGAAGCAUUUACCCAGUUUUGUGUCUGUGGCUCAGGAAGGACAAAGUGUUUCAGGAGGGUAUUUAGCCAGUGUUAGCUGAGGAGCUGGAGCUCUCCACUGCCACAGACUCACAUCUGGACAGGCAGCCCAGGCCCAGGUACAAAGUAUCAGUCAUUUCUGACAUUGUCCCAUCCUCUGUGCUGGGCAGGGCCCUCAACCUUCUGCUGCUUGCAUGUACAGGCAGACAUCAGGCAUGGCACUAGUGUGAGUGGUGACACUACUUGUGUAGUAGAUGUGACAGAUGAUUUUCCCAGCUAAUCCUCUACUUUGUAUUUCAAUAUAAGCAGAUAGUAUAAACUUUUUCUCCCUUUCAGCUGCCUGUUGGUGUAUGCAGUGCAGUAACACAAAAGCCUUGCAAUAACUUUAUCAAAUGUAAGGCCAACGUGCUACUGAGCAUUAUCAAAGCACAGAUUCUCCACAUUAUGUCAGCAACACACCUUGUUCUGCCUCUGGAGGAGACCUUGAUAUCCUUCUGGGAGGACUCAUCAUCUGAUUUCAUGUCGUCUGAUGAGGGAGGUUCAUGGAUAUUUUCAUCCUUCUCCUUAUGCUCAGACUUGAUUUCUGUUGGACCUAUAG
Molecule: long non-coding RNA, 10827 nt
Organism: Passer domesticus (house sparrow)
Lineage: Eukaryota; Metazoa; Chordata; Aves; Passeriformes; Passeridae
Exons: 6
Source: RefSeq, a predicted model, not a curated record